CCCAACCUUCCAAUCCAAUCCAGGAUCCAUUCCCUUCAUUCUUUAACCUAUGUGACUGAAGCUAAAGAUUCAAUGAAUUCAAACCUGUAAAGAGACUCCUCACGGUGCCGUACUUUGUUCCUGCCGCUCGCUUCCACACUCUCUUCAAGGUCUGCGUUCAUAUCCUGUUUGCUCUACAUGAGGCGCCGCAUGCUUGUUUUCCCUCCAGUUAAACGAUGUGAAUUCUUGGAGAAGUAAAACGAAUACCUCGCACCAAGGACGAAUUGAUACGCUUCUGUUGAUCUUCCAGGUUCCAGGUGGCACAUUCGAGCUUUGAUCCAUUUUGCGUAUCUUCUCCUUUCCUCCUUCCCGAUGUAGCUUCUAUUUCGGAUUCUGAAGCUCUAAGAAAAAUGGUGGAAAUGAUGCCUUCUCUCUUGUGAUUGAAGCCUUCGCAAACCGAAGAUUCGGUUGAACUCUUGUUGGAUAAAGGUUUGGUUGAGGCUCUUGCAAAAAGGAGGUUCUGUUGAGGCACUUGCAGAAUCGAGGUUCCGUUGAGGCACUUGUAGAAUUGAGGUUCCGUUGAGGCACUUGCAGAAUCAAGGUCUAAUUCUUAGUGAGAAAAUCAGAGUCUGAACUUGGUGAAGGGUGAGCUCCUUUUAUAACCUUCUGAUUCGGAUGAUUCUAUUACUCCAUCCCUCUCCAUCCAUUCUGUUAGAGAAGUUUGUUAAGAUUAGUUGAAAAGUGGUUAGUUAGUUGAAACAGUUAGGAGGUUGAAAUGUUAGUUAGAGGUGAGUGAAGGGAAAUCGGUUAUUUGUUUGGAAACUCAGUUAACAGGUGGUUAAUUAUGUCAAUGCUUGAAAUUCUGUUAGAAAAUUUGUUGACAUUAGUGUUAAUCUAUUACUUAAAUUGGUUAACUAUUAUUAUUAUGAAAUUCAAAAUUGACUAUGAGAUAUAAAAAAGAGGUUAGGCUGUUAGUGUCAGAAUUAUGUUAGUUCUAACUUGGCAUAAGGAAGCCUGUUAUGUUGCUUGAGUUUGGAUGUUAGCAUGUGUAUGGUUUUGUGCUUACGAUGUAUUAUUUUCGAAUGUUUGGAUUAUGUAUGUUGAGCUGGUUUAUGUAGGUUGGACGUGCUCCUUGUGAAUCAUAAGCAAAUCUAAAUAUUGCUUGAGCCUUGGAAGUGUGGAUGGUUUGUUAUGAUUUUGAGUUCUGUUUGUAUGUGUUGAAUUGGCUUAGUGAUGUGUGUAAGAUAAUACUGAACUACUAAUUGUGAAAUGCUGCCAUUUUGCUUGAUUUGGUGCAGGUUGUGUACACUUGCUGCAAGAUUUUCAUUUGCGUGGUGUGAUGCUUAAUUAGUGAUGCGGGAUGGCUGGCUCGAUGGCUUCCAAUGCUCAUGCUUUCUACAGAUUGUUGUGAGCAUGCUAUGAAGUGGACAAUGGUUGGACAACAAAUCAUGGCAUCCAAGUUGUAAUUUAAAGUAUCCAUCAUGGAAUGGUCAACAAAAGAUCAAGAGUCAAACAUUGAAUAUCAGAUUAGAAAUAGGAUGGGGAUUUAGGGUUUUAGGAUGAAGAGUGGUUGACUUGACUUUGGUCAAACUUGACCAAAAAUUCAACUAUUGACCAAAGUUAACAUUUGGUCAACAUAAUUGUUGUGUAAUUUUUGUAAUGUAUGAACACUUGUGAUGGAUUGUAAUGAUGGAAUUGACAUUUUGAAUGAAAUAAGACACCUUGAAUGGAUUUUAUGUGAA
Long non-coding RNA from Lathyrus oleraceus (garden pea), 1721 nucleotides. RefSeq lists it as uncharacterized. The record is from RefSeq and is a predicted model, not a curated record. The transcript has 2 exons. NCBI's taxonomy places the organism in Eukaryota, Viridiplantae, Streptophyta, Magnoliopsida, Fabales, Fabaceae.